This 399-nucleotide ribosomal RNA is filed under the name uncultured bacterium. RNAcentral's name for it is "bacterial SSU rRNA". It matches the Rfam family "Bacterial small subunit ribosomal RNA", at positions 366 to 778 of the family's 1533-position model. The record is from RNAcentral.
GGAUGAAUGGACGAGAGUCUGAUCUAGCAACACCGCGUGUGCGAAGAAGGCCUUCGGGUUGUAAAGCACUUUUUGGAAGGAUUAGGAAGGAAUGUACUUCCAGAAUAAGUCUCGGCUAACUACGUGCCAGCAGCCGCGGUAACACGUAGGAGGCAAACGUUAUCCGGAUUUACUGGGCGUAAAGCGCGUGUAGGUGGUUCUGUAAGUAGGGCGUGAAAGCUCCUGGCUCAACUGGGAGAGGCCGUUCUAAACUGCAGAGCUAGAGGAUGGUAGAGGGAGGUGGAAUUCCGGGUGUAGCGGUGGAAUGCGCAGAUAUCCGGAGGAACACCGAGUGGCGAAAGCGGCCUCCUGGACCAUCCCGUGACACUCAGACGCGAAAGCUAGGGUAGCAACCGGGAU